UACGAAGGGUGCAAACGUUGCUCGGAAUUAUUGGGCGUAAAGCGCACGUAGGCGGCAUUGCAAGUCGGAUGUGAAAUCCCUCGGCUUAACCAAGGAAGUGCAUCCGAAACUGCAGUGCUUGAGUACUUAAGAGGAUCGCGGAAUUCCCGGUGUAGAGGUGAAAUUCGUAGAUAUCGGGAGGAACACCAGUGGCGAAGGCGGCGAUCUGGGAAGAUACUGACGCUGAGGCGCGAAAGCUAGGGGAGCAAACGGG
RNAcentral lists this ribosomal RNA (253 nucleotides) under uncultured bacterium. Its description in RNAcentral is "partial 16S ribosomal RNA". It matches the Rfam family "Bacterial small subunit ribosomal RNA", at positions 524 to 776 of the family's 1533-position model. The record is from RNAcentral.